RNAcentral lists this ribosomal RNA (425 nucleotides) under uncultured bacterium. RNAcentral describes it as "bacterial SSU rRNA". It matches the Rfam family "Bacterial small subunit ribosomal RNA", at positions 608 to 1029 of the family's 1533-position model. The record is from RNAcentral.
CUCAACCUCGAGAUUGCCUCUGAUACUGGUGGACUUGAGUGCAGGAGAGGGUAGCAGAAUUCCCAGUGUAGCGGUGAAAUGCGUAGAUAUUGGGAGGAAUACCAGUGGCGAAGGCGGCUAUCUGGACUGUAACUGACACUGAGGCGCGAAAGCGUGGGGAGCAAACAGGAUUAGAUACCCUGGUAGUCCACGCCGUAAACGAUGAGUGCUAGGUGUUGCGGGUAUCGACCCCUGCAGUGCCGCAGUUAACACAAUAAGCACUCCGCCUGGGGAGUACGGUCGCAAGACUGAAACUCAAAGGAAUUGACGGGGGCCCGCACAAGCGGUGGAGUAUGUGGUUUAAUUCGACGCAACGCGAAGAACCUUACCAGGGCUUGACAUCGCGCGAAAGCCAUAGAGAUAUGGUCCUACCCUUCGGGGUACGC